RNAcentral lists this ribosomal RNA (311 nucleotides) under uncultured bacterium. RNAcentral's name for it is "bacterial SSU rRNA". It matches the Rfam family "Bacterial small subunit ribosomal RNA", at positions 28 to 334 of the family's 1533-position model. The record is from RNAcentral.
GACGAACGCUGGCGGCGCGCCUAACACAUGCAAGUCGAACGAGCGAGAGAGAGCUUGCUUUCUCGAGCGAGUGGCGAACGGGUGAGUAACGCGUGAGGAACCUGCCUCAAAGAGGGGGACAACAGUUGGAAACGACUGCUAAUACCGCAUAAGCCCACGACCCGGCAUCGGGUUGAGGGAAAAGGAGCAAUCCGCUUUGAGAUGGCCUCGCGUCCGAUUAGGUAGUUGGUGAGAUAACAGCCCACCAAGCCGACGAUCGGUAGCCGGACUGAGAGGUUGAUCGGCCACAUUGGGACUGAGACACGGCCCAG